CCUUGUAGAGAGAUAGAGAGGCCUGGAGGCGGAGGAGAGCUGCGACUAUACCUGUCUCUCCGCUACUUCAGCUGCCAUGAAGACUUUGAUAAAGAUUGGUUACUCUUUACCGUCUUCCAUUUAGCUAACCUCUUUGUAGUAUAAUUUCGACUGAAAAGUAAAACAGCAUAAUUUAGCUGCUUGAAGAAGAUAAACGUGUAGAAGACUGGCCGCUGAUGCAGUCUCCAUGGCCAACACUAAGCAUAAGCACACUCUAUCUCCUGUUCGUGUGGCUGGGGCCGAAGUGGAUGAAAGACCGAGAGCCGUUUCAAAUGCGCUUAGUGCUCAUAAUCUAUAAUUUUGGCAUGGUUUUGCUUAACCUUUUCAUCUUCAGAGAGGUAUGUUUAUUAACUUUAGUAAUC
This 401-nucleotide long non-coding RNA is filed under the name Rattus norvegicus (Norway rat). Its description in RNAcentral is "long non-coding RNA NONRATT028826". The record is from RNAcentral. Lineage: Eukaryota; Metazoa; Chordata; Mammalia; Rodentia; Muridae.